AUCUUCCACAAUGGACGAAAGUCUGAUGGAGCAACGCCGCGUGAGUGAAGAAGGGUUUCGGCUCGUAAAGCUCUGUUGGUAGUGAAGAAAGAUAGAGGUAGUAACUGGCCUUUAUUUGACGGUAAUUACUUAGAAAGUCACGGCUAACUACGUGCCAGCAGCCGCGGUAAUACGUAGGUGGCAAGCGUUGUCCGGAUUUAUUGGGCGUAAAGCGAGUGCAGGCGGUUCAAUAAGUCUGAUGUGAAAGCCUUCGGCUCAACCGGAGAAUUGCAUCAGAAACUGUUGAACUUGAGUGCAGAAGAGGAGAGUGGAACUCCAUGUGUAGCGGUGGAAUGCGUAGAUAUAUGGAAGAACACCAGUGGCGAAGGCGGCUCUCUGGUCUGCAACUGACGCUGAGGCUCGAAAGCAUGGGUAGCGAA
RNAcentral lists this ribosomal RNA (419 nucleotides) under uncultured bacterium. RNAcentral's name for it is "bacterial SSU rRNA". It matches the Rfam family "Bacterial small subunit ribosomal RNA", at positions 361 to 772 of the family's 1533-position model. The record is from RNAcentral.